GAUGAACGCUGGCGGCGUGCCUAAUACAUGCAAGUCGAGCGAACAGACGAGGAGCUUGCUCCUCUGACGUUAGCGGCGGACGGGUGAGUAACACGUGGAUAACCUACCUAUAAGACUGGGAUAACUUCGGGAAACCGGAGCUAAUACCGGAUAAUAUAUUGAACCGCAUGGUUCAAUAGUGAAAGACGGUUUUGCUGUCACUUAUAGAUGGAUCCGCGCCGCAUUAGCUAGUUGGUAAGGUAACGGCUUACCAAGGCAACGAUGCGUAGCCGACCUGAGAGGGUGAUCGGCCACACUGGAACUGAGACGCGGUCCAGACUCCUACGGGAGGCAGCAGUAGGGAAUCUUCCGCAAUGGGCGAAAGCCUGACGGAGCAACGCCGCGUGAGUGAUGAAGGUCUUCGGAUCGUAAAACCCUGUUAUUAGGGAAGAACAAAUGUGUAAGUAACUAUGCACGUCUUGACGGUACCUAAUCAGAAAGCCACGGCUAACUACGUG
This 497-nucleotide ribosomal RNA is filed under the name uncultured bacterium. RNAcentral describes it as "partial 16S ribosomal RNA". It matches the Rfam family "Bacterial small subunit ribosomal RNA", at positions 28 to 507 of the family's 1533-position model. The record is from RNAcentral.